This 69-nucleotide transfer RNA is filed under the name Marmota marmota marmota (Alpine marmot). It matches the Rfam family "tRNA". From Rfam's summary of the family: Transfer RNA (tRNA) molecules are approximately 80 nucleotides in length. The record is from Rfam by way of RNAcentral. RNAcentral also lists the same sequence under 2 other names. Lineage: Eukaryota; Metazoa; Chordata; Mammalia; Rodentia; Sciuridae.
GGGGUUGUGGCUCAGUGGUAGAGCACUCGCCUAGCAUGUGUGAGGCACUGGGUUCAAUCUCCAAUACCA